AGAUGUGGAUCUCUAAGGGUGAAUAUGAUGAAUCUGGGCCAGCUAUAAUUCAUUGGAAAUGCUUCUAAGUUGGCUUAAGUUGAUCUGGAUGGUUAUCAAGCUCUUAAUGCUCCCAAUCCUGUGCCAUAUUUUCGUCAAGCUUGAUUGACUUGUUGGAUAUUUGAUGCUUUGGUUUUUUAAUAGGUAUAUCUAGUUAAUGAAUGGAUUUGUAAGUUAAGUUUGUUAUAUGUUUCCCCGUUAGGUUGUUGGAACAGACUUUUUAUGCAGUUGGCGAUGGCAUUUGAACUUAGUAGGUUAUAAUGGACAACAAAACUUUCUUUAUUCUACCAGCCAACACUUUAGAUAGAACUUUGUAGAUGACACCAUUGGAGAAAUGGGUCUAUAUUGUUCAAGCUUGACAGGUUAUGUUUGGUUUGAUUUUCCUUUUAUUCUUUUUUAUGAUGUGGCGAAAAAUUAGGUGCCUCGAGUUAGGAGGACAAUAAGUUUAAGCAUCCUUUUUCCUGGAGGGAUUUUUGAUUUAUUUUCUGUUGAUAUUAAUUGUAUGCUUAAUUGGUUAUGUUUUGCGGUACAAAAAAAAUAUUUUAUUUAUUUAUUUACAUCCUUUCUCUUGUAUUAUGGUGAACAGAUUUGACAGGAUCAUUUAGAAGGAAAUACCUUCUAGUGUGGUUUAUGAGGAUGAUAAGGUAUUUUCUGAUGCUUACCUAUCUUUUGUUAUUGUAUUUUUCUCAUUUCCCAAUGUUUAGGGAUGCAACUAGUUAUAAAUAGAGGGUAUAUCAUAUAAAAUGAUGUUUCAAAUGACACACCUACUAGUGAUGAUAACAGAGAAGUUUGAUAUCUAAAGGAAAAAGUAAUUUGCUAUACAAAUCCACAUUUAUACACGUGUUGAAUUUCAUAUGUUGUCUUAUGAAUGAUUGUUUUCUUUUUGUUUUCUAGUUUCAGUGAAACUUCUGACUCUUAUUGUUUAUGAAUCUUGUUAACAUUUAAUUAUUCUUUAGAGUCUACACUUGUUGAUCAGAUAAACAAGUAUAAUGGUUCAACUAGUGUUCCAUAAGUGUCCAUUUUAUAUCGAUAAUUAGAAUUUGUAAGACUUUGCAUUAUUUUAGUUUAAGGCACCAAUGAUGAACCUAAAUAUAGUGGCAACCUAUCUUUACACUUACGAAAAUGAAACCAUAGGUUCUAAGGCCAUGUUUAGUGUUCCCAUUAAGUUUUCCAAUGUCUUAUGAAAAUGAAUAACUUUGAGUGGAUUCCGUUUUGCUGAUAUUUGGUUGAGGUGGGCUCUGACAAAUCUGUGUGCCCAAUGGUUUAGUACACCAUCUCUUCGGGAGCAAUUAAAGGUUCUGUUUUGGUUCAAUAUCCCAAUUAAAGAAGGGUGGGUAAUUCCAAUUGUUAAUAGUAACAGUUGUUGGGAAUUUGAGUCAAUACUAACAAUCCUCUGCUUAAUAAGUGCUUCUCUCAAUUAGUUUAAUGUCUCAGAUAAAGGUUAUGUUUCGGUUCAAUAGCUCAAUUAAAGAAGGGGGGUCUUCCAAUUGUUAAUAGUAAGAGAUGUUGGAAAUUUGAGUCAAUAUUGUCAAUCCUUCCUCUGCAGUAAUAAGUGCUUCUCUUAUUUAGUUUAUUGUCUUAGAUAUCUUCACUUUAUAACUUUAGGAAUUGUCUUACAAAUAUAAGAUCACAAUUAUAAAAAUAUUCUCCACACUCAAAGUUCCUAGCUCUCUGUGAUGAUACCAUUCGCAAGCUCCAACUCUAAACUCAAUCCCAUUAGAGCUAAUUAAUUAAUUAGCCAUAACAGUAUGGGCAAUAUGAAUUUUCUUUCUGGAAUUUGCUAUGCUACACUUAUGUCUAUUCAAAUUGGCAUUAUUUAGAUUAUGAAUAUGAAAUGUUUGGCAAAUGGUCUAUCAAAGGCUGGUGAUACUUUUGUUGAUGGAGUAGUCAUAACUACAACACGAACAUUGCCAAGUUAAUCAGAAAGGGUUAUGAAUUAAACCCUAAUUGAAUUGAGGAUAUAAACAAGGUUAGUGAAUUUAAAAGGUUUUUAGCAUAGGGUUUUCAAAGUGGGAGAUCGCAUUGAUGUAAAGCUUAUAGAGGUAUGUCAUGUUAUGGUUGAUUUUUAUGUAUAUAGUCCAUAUCUACAUAAUUGAGUUGAUUGAUGUUGUUAGUUGUUGAAAUGGAAAAAGAAAAUGGUAACCGUCUUUAUAUAUAAAGAGGUCCACAAAUCAAUUUGGUUUUGGUGCUGUUCUUAUUGAGUAAGCAAAUAUGAGGCCUACCUACGCCUAAAUAGGCACAGCCAUAUUGAAUGAAUUGAAUUUAAAACUAAAUUUAUUAUUUUCUUGAUCUUAUUAAAAUAAUUAUGAUAAAAGUCUUUUAUAUUAAGAAUGGUAUAAAAAUUAUUAUAAUUUUAUUUUUCAUUUGAAAAUUUUGUAUGACUAUGGUUUAAAACUAAUAAUAUCAUUCAAUUGCAGUGUCUUUGGAUAAAAAUAAUUACUGUUUACACAAAAAAAUGAAUCAUUUUGAGUUUAUAUCUAUUAAAAUAUUAAUUAAUUUUACCACAAACUCUUAAUCUAUUUCUAUUAAUUUUCUAUUCUAAUUUCGUAAUUUAAGACAUUCUUACUCGUGUGGAAAAGAGAAUAGCUAGAGAAAAGAAAAGGCAGGAAGAGGUAUUUUAAUAUGGAAAAACAUACAUUGUAUAGAUAUUUUAAUGGAGGUUGACUAGGCAAAAGGCUCAACCUUGUGUAAUGGGGAAAAUGAAAAAGAAUUUUUAGAAACCAAAUCGGGGCAAAAUGAAAACGAAUACUAAAUAAAAGCUUCGAUUGAGAUGAUGGAGCUUCGAUUGAGAGAUGAAGAUUAGAAUAUAUGGAGACGAAGAGCAAACGACUACGGUGUGUAUAAAAACCAUGAAACCCUAUAAGUCUGUGAAAAACUACGGAAAGUAUGUAAGAAUAUGAGAGUGUGAAAAUAUAUUAUGGGAUAUAAGACACUUUGGCGCAAUUUAAAAAAAAAAUCGUUUAGACUUCUUAGGGGUUCAAAUAACUCCUCGUUAGUGCUUCUCUUUCAAGAGGUUAUUAUAACCCCUCUUAAAAAAAAACCCUUGUUAUAAUUUAUUUAUUUUUUGUAGUGACCAUGUUCUUAAAAUUUUAUGUUGUUUUAAAACACUUUUGUCUGUGUCUGGACACGUGUUGUCACAUGUCAAAUUUAAUUAUUAACUAGAGUUUGAUGAAAAAAGGAAAAUUUAUAUUUUAUAUAUAUAUAAACUAUAGAUAUAUAUAAAAACUAUACAAUACAUGUGGAACUUGCACCAGGUGCUUCUACUUGGUCCCAAAUUCAUGUCACACUUUGGGGGGGAACUUCAGCUUGUCAGCCACGUCUGGGAUGGCGAUCAAUUCCUUGUGAUUCAUUUUAAACUUGUGUCAACAGGACAAGUCUCCUUUCGCUUGCGCCCUAUCUGAUGCUUUUCGGCUUGUAGGGUGCAUGUCUGACUAUGAACUGCUCCCUGAACAAUGCAGAAAACUGAUCGAAUGAGGUUGUGUCCAUCAAGGAGACCAAUGAAUCAUUCUAGUGUCGUGCCUUCGAACGUCCCCAUGAACAACUUGCAGUGCAUUGUGUCUGUCCCUUCGAAGAUCAUCAUUUGAGUAUGGAAAGCCGUGAUGUGGGUUUCCAGGUUUUCGGUAUAUGUGAAAGUGAUUAUGGGUGUAAUGAAAUUGGUUGGUAUCACGACAUCCAUGAUCGUCUGGGAGAACUGCAUGGGGCGAGCCCUAACUGGAAUAGGCAGGCUUUGCUCCCCUAUUGUGCGUUCCCCCAAACGCUUUAGAUCUCUCCGCAACUCCUCAUUGGCCUUGCGUAACUCUUCGUUGUCUGUCCGCGACACAUCCAACUCGACCUUGAAUUGGUCUUAGCAGAAUAGAUUUGUCUGCAUUAACCAUAUUAUUAGCAAGAAAAAAAUAUUGUAGACAUUAUUAGUAUCUAUGGGACAACUUUUUAAGAGUUCAAAGCAUAUUCAUCGCACACAAAGCAUACUUAUUUGUGAGGGUUAUGAAUUUGAUGAAAGGAAAUUAUUCAAAUCUUGAUUCACUUUCCACAUUUAUUCUUCUUUGGUGCAGAGGAUUUGGCAGAAAAUGAAGGUAGGAAUAUGUGUAUUCAUACAAAUGGAAAUUAGAUUUUGAGAACCAAAGUUGUAGGGUGGCCAGGAGGUCGGAGGAGAAGAUAUGUGGCAUGCAAGAGACAAACUUAAUCCAGGCAAUUGCUUCCUGCACCCACACUUUUGAACCUGCACCCAACACAAUUUCAAAAAUUCCAAAAAUACCUUUUAUUCUGGAAAUAAAAAUUUGGAAUAAAAAGUAAUGUAUUUUGGUAGAUCCGGAAGAGAUUAUUGUGUUCUGGAUAUAAAAAUCUGGAAAAAAAAUCAAAAUCUCAUUCCAAAUAAAAAAAAUUAGAACUGAAAAUAAUACAUUUUGAAAAAUUUUAUCCAGAAGAGAUUAUUGUGUUCGGAAAAAAGGGUCCAGAAUGUAAUUUUAUAUGUACCCAUUUUUUUAAGGGUAUUUUUGUUUUUUCCCUUCUAAUUGGGUGCAGUGAUAUGGUGCAGGAAUCAAUUAUCCUUUGUCAUGUCAGCAAUUUGCACAAUAAUGAGACCCUUAUACUAGACUUAUCCACGUUGGGGUGGAGAAAGUAAUUGUGAGGCGGGUCCUGUUGGUGUGGAUGCGAGAAGCCUGAUGGUAGGGAAUGAAGGAAUCGCCGUGGGAAUUAUUGACUUUAGCAUGUGAAAUUAGCAAUACUAAUAUUUAAUUAGUUAAAUGGAAUUAUAGUUAUUAUAUAGGUUGAUAUGAGAUUUUGUGGUUGUUACAGUAAAAAUGUAAAAAAAAAAUACAAUAAAUGUGGUAUGAAAAUCAUAUUUGAUCCAAUAUUUUUUCAAAUUCUUAUAUUUUCUUACCUUUUUCUUUCACUUUUAUAUUUUUUUAAUUUUAAUAAUAUUCUUUUGCGAUGUUACAUUUUUCUUUAUUUUCAAAUGGUGAUGGUUAUUUGUGGUGGUUGAUAGUGAACCUUACUAAUUAAAUUAAGUUUUGAGUAUUUUUUUUACUGGUGAUGGUUGUGUUUUUGUUUGUUUAUUUUUUUUAAGUCAUAAAACUCAAAAAGAAACCAACUAGGUGUAAA
Molecule: long non-coding RNA, 5139 nt
Filed under: Phaseolus vulgaris (common bean)
Lineage: Eukaryota; Viridiplantae; Streptophyta; Magnoliopsida; Fabales; Fabaceae
Description: long non-coding RNA (PVUL_LNC000837)
Source: RNAcentral